ACUUACGGCAACACCGGCCUGAGUACGCCUGAUCUCGUCCGAUCUCGGAAGCUAAGCAGGGUCGGGCCUGGUUAGUACUUGGAUGGGUGACAGCCUUGCAAUACCAGGUGCUGUAAGCU
Molecule: ribosomal RNA, 119 nt
Filed under: Oncorhynchus mykiss (rainbow trout)
Lineage: Eukaryota; Metazoa; Chordata; Actinopteri; Salmoniformes; Salmonidae
Source: RNAcentral